Molecule: ribosomal RNA, 497 nt
Filed under: uncultured bacterium
Lineage: Bacteria
Description: partial 16S ribosomal RNA
Rfam family: Bacterial small subunit ribosomal RNA
Source: RNAcentral
GAUGAACGCUGGCGGCGUGCCUAAUACAUGCAAGUCGAGCGAACAGAUGAGGAGCUUGCUCCUCUGACGUUAGCGGCGGACGGGUGAGUAACACGUGGAUAACCUACCUAUAAGACUGGGAUAACUUCGGGAAACCGGAGCUAAUACCGGAUAAUAUAUUGAACCGCAUGGUUCAAUAGUGAAAGACGGUUUUGCUGUCACUUAUAGAUGGAUCCGCGCCGCAUUAGCUAGUUGGUAAGGUAACGGCUUACCAAGGCAACGAUGCGUAGCCGACCUGAGAGGGGGAUCGGCCACACUGGAAAUGGGACACGGUCCAGACUCCUACGGGAGGCAGCAGUAGGGAAUCCUCCGCAAUGGGCGAAAGCCUGACGGAGCAACGCCGCGUGAGUGAAGAAGGUCUUCGGAUCGUAAAACUCUGUUAUUAGGGAAGAACAAAUGUGUAAGUAACUAUGCACGUCUUGACGGUACCUAAUCAGAAAGCCACGGCUAACUACGUG